CCCUUAGAUGUCCUGGGCCGCACGCGUGUUACACUGAUGCAUACAGCGAGUACUCCCAGCUCCGAGAGGCUGCUGGUAAUCAGCAAUAUGCAUCGUGAUGGGGAUAGAUCUUUGGAAUUAUAGAUCUUGAACGAGGAAUUCCUAGUAAUCGCAGGUCAUCACCCUGCGUUGACUAAGUCCCUGCCCUUUGUACACACCGCCCGUCGCUCCUACCGAUUUCGAGUGAUCCGGUGAAUCAUUCGGACCGCGGCCCCUAGGCAUGCGGAAAGUCUAGUAAACCAUAUCACUUAGAGGAAGGAGAAGUCGUAACA
RNAcentral lists this ribosomal RNA (311 nucleotides) under uncultured eukaryote. RNAcentral describes it as "partial 18S ribosomal RNA". It matches the Rfam family "Eukaryotic small subunit ribosomal RNA", at positions 1470 to 1796 of the family's 1831-position model. The record is from RNAcentral.